CCUACGGGUGGCAGCAGUGGGGAAUAUUGCACAAUGGGCGCAAGCCUGAUGCAGCCAUGCCGCGUGUGUGAAGAAGGCCCUCGGGUUGUAAAGCACUUUCAGCGGGGAGGAAGGCGUUAAGGUUAAUAACCUUGGCGAUUGACGUUACCCGCAGAAGAAGCACCGGCUAACUCCGUGCCAGCAGCCGCGGUAAUACGGAGGGUGCAAGCGUUAAUCGGAAUUACUGGGCGUAAAGCGCACGCAGGCGGUCUGUCAAGUCGGAUGUGAAAUCCCCGGGCUCAACCUGGGAACUGCAUUCGAAACUGGCAGGCUAGAGUCUUGUAGAGGGGGGUAGAAUUCCAGGUGUAGCGGUGAAAUGCGUAGAGAUCUGGAGGAAUACCGGUGGCGAAGGCGGCCCCCUGGACAAAGACUGACGCUCAGGUGCGAAAGCGUGGGGAGCAAACAGGAUUAGAUACCCGGGUAGUC
This 465-nucleotide ribosomal RNA is filed under the name uncultured Klebsiella sp. Its description in RNAcentral is "bacterial SSU rRNA". It matches the Rfam family "Bacterial small subunit ribosomal RNA", at positions 338 to 795 of the family's 1533-position model. Lineage: Bacteria; Pseudomonadati; Pseudomonadota; Gammaproteobacteria; Enterobacterales; Enterobacteriaceae. The record is from RNAcentral.